Long non-coding RNA from Pyrus x bretschneideri (Chinese white pear), 742 nucleotides. RefSeq lists it as uncharacterized. The transcript is spliced from 2 exons. The record is from RefSeq and is a predicted model, not a curated record. NCBI's taxonomy places the organism in Eukaryota, Viridiplantae, Streptophyta, Magnoliopsida, Rosales, Rosaceae.
CCCAACCCAUAUCAACCCAACCUAAAUCGGGUGGGUUAGUCGGUAGACUGAAAUGCACACCCCUACUUCCUUGUGUGCGGAUAAACAAACCACCACCUCUCUGCUUUCUCAAUUAGGUUUUCCCGUUUUCGCAAUUUCCCAAUUCCCCCUAACUCCGGAACUCUCUCUCCACCAAUUCAUAAAUGCCUUUGCACUCUCUUCCACACCCCACUACCACUUCCGCCUCUUGCCGCCGCCGCUAAGCCUUCGGAAACGCCACCUCUCUCGGCCUACUUCGCCGCCGGAUCUCCGUCCCAAAGUGAUAUUCACUUUGACUUGUCAAUAGAAAACAAGGCUGCUACUAACCUCUUUGCGCACUGGUUUAAACUGUUUCUAUGCUCUAUUAGAACCUCAGCAAUUAUUGUUUAACUGCACUUGCAUUGGGACAGAUGAGCACGUCUAGUCAGCUACAAGAAAUUAACAGAAAAACUAGCCGGAUUGCCCUGCCUAACCAUGAUGAAGAAAGUGCUGCUAGAACAAGGCCUUUCAGCUUUGAAGAGAUUAUGCUUAGGAGGAAUAACAAGAAGUUAUGUGAUAGUGUCGUAGAGGAAGUCGUAGAUGUAGGUAAUGUACCAAGGGAAUCUAUGGUUAAAAAUUCUUUUGACAGUUUUGAGUCUGAAAAGGAUCACAGACACCAUAAAGAUUUGCCCCCUGUUGAUAAAAAGCCUGCCUCCGAGGAUCCAGUGAAGGCAUAUUCCAGAAA